Molecule: small nucleolar RNA, 128 nt
Filed under: Cavia porcellus (domestic guinea pig)
Lineage: Eukaryota; Metazoa; Chordata; Mammalia; Rodentia; Caviidae
Source: RNAcentral
GCCACUUGCCCCCUUGGACUAGCGCGGAUCCCACUGAUUCUCAUUCAGAGCUAGAUGCCCAGAUCAGCCCUGGAAGAGCAUCAUCAGAGUUUUGAGAGGGAAGCAUUGUUUUCCUGCCUUGGACAUGU